RNAcentral lists this ribosomal RNA (1756 nucleotides) under Triticum aestivum (bread wheat). RNAcentral describes it as "partial small subunit ribosomal RNA". Lineage: Eukaryota; Viridiplantae; Streptophyta; Magnoliopsida; Poales; Poaceae. The record is from RNAcentral.
CUCGCAACGCCGCCGCAUUUCUCCAACCCUCUCACCGCUUCCUCACCACCUCCAAAAGCUCAGCAGGCCAUGGCUGGAUAGACAAGCAUGUCCGCUGAUCGAGCAGCUUAAGCCCUCCAUGCCCUGCGCUCGUGCGUGAUUCGCAUCUAUGACUGCUCAGCAGAGUUCCUUGUUCUGAAAAUUCGGAAUUAGUUCGCGUUCCGAAGGCUCCAGAUCUGAAGUUAGGAAUUGGAGGUUCAGAGAAUUGCAUAUUACUGCUGCAGAUAUGGACUUUUUGGGUUUUCUUGUUCCCGUCAAAAGAUUGCAACUUUCACAUCCUUUUAUCUCUCUAUUACAGUAGUCCCGAUGUAUUCAAGUCUCGUCAAUUAAUUCUAUUGUAUUUUAUCUCUUUGGGACUCAGGGUAUUCGAGCAUUAGUUGGUUCGAUGGAUCGCAAGUUUCUGAAUAUGGUCCUGCACGAGUAUGGCAGUAGAAUGUAUUCGCUGUGCCGCAUCAAGCUCUCCACUCAUCUCUUCUAUCCGACAGCAAAAGACGCAACAACAGCCCAUGAAGAUGCAAAUGCAAGGAAGAAGAAGCAUGGGGGAUGGCCAUCAACGAUCUCGAGCUGCAAGCGCCCGCCAAGUACUUUGGUCAACUUCUCGGUGCCACCCAGCACUGCUGCCGCCAGUAACAUGCGUUUCUUCUCCCUCCUGCCUGAGCAGGGAGAGUCCUCUGUCAUGUUCACUGACCCUUCUUGCAACUCCGCAGUCUACGAUAUGGACAUGAAGUCUUUCGUUCUCGCACCCAGCUCAUACUUCUGCAAACCGUAUGAUUCCAUCACCGUGUCCAUUAGGAACCGAUGCAGCAGUGGCAAUUUCUUGGACCACGAAGAUGAUCAUGGCCUCUACGUCAUGAACAGCUUGGACGACAGCUUUGAGUUCUUCAGUUACUGCAAGGUUGGCCUAUCUACCUAUCCGUUGCUGUACAAUAAGUGGUACUGGAGUCCUCUGCCGUCUCCACCGUCCCGCACCAGUCCUCUUGUUGCAGCGGCGGUGAUUGACAACUCCACCAUAUGCGCGUCAUCCAAGAACGGCACAUACACCUUUGAUAUUUCGAGGGAGGUGUGGAGCCACACUGGCAGCUGGGUGCUGCCCUUCCACCGCGCAGCAGAGUAUGUCCCUGAGCUUGGACUCUGGUUCGGCCUCCAGGCCCCUGGCACCUGGCAAAAUCGCUUAUGUGCAUUUGACCUUUCAUCCUCUGCCAUGGCGGAAUCUGCUCCUUCACCCCUGCAUGAUUGGGAAUACCUCGAUCUCCUCCCCGACGAGUUGCUGCCGGUGGGGCGUGCCUUGGUGAACCUGGGCUCGGGCAAGUUUUGCAUCGCGACCCACUGCAGGAAGGAUAGGUCUGCACUCCAGGAGGAGGACGAGCUGGAGAAUAUUAGGAGUUUGGGUGGAAAUGGGGGUGUGCAAACUCUCUUGACUGGCGUGGAGGUGGUCCGCUGCGCCGACGGGCUCCAGCUUAUCCACCACAAGUCCCAACGUUACAACAUUGAAAACUUAAGUAUCCACUGUGUGCUCUGACUCGUUUUAUUACCUAUCCGAUCAUCCCAAUCUGAGCCAUGUAGUACUAGUUAGUUAGCUUUACCUAGUGGCUGGAUGCAUCACUCUGUUAUGAUUACCUGUAAGUCGGGACUUACAAAAUAAUACUCCUACUACUUUAUUUAUUGGACUGCAGAUUUUGUUUUAUAAUUUUUUUGGAGUUUGCUGUUGAUGCUGCCA